GCAGAGAAGAGAUUAUUAAUAAUAGCAGCAGCAGCUCACUGAGAGAUGGACAGACGUGUGUUCGUGUUGCUCUGUCUGCUGACGGCUGUGAGAUCACAAGGUAGUACUCCACCGGCAGAGAUCACUGUAAAUGCACAGGACAUGGUUCUGACAUGUAAAAAUGGAAAAUUUGGUGACAAAGAUUCAAUAAAGAUGAAUUAUGAUAAUUCUGGAGUCCACCAGUGUAAACCUGAAAAUGAUGAGGAGUGUACUGAUGCAACCUGUGCAACAGCUCUAAUAAAAAUCCUGAGUGAGUAAGAACCUGAUCCAGCUGGACUCGAUGGCUCUGGUCAGUGUUAUCGUGGGGGAUAUUUUAGUGACCGCUCUGAUCGGAUGGGCUAUUUACAUCGUCUGCGCUCAACCCACAGCCAGAGGCGGCUAUCAGGGGAAUAAAGCCUCGGACAGACAGGCUCUGAUCAAUAAUCACGCUCCAUCAGGAGGAGACACUUAUCAGCCGCUGAACACGCGUACGGAUGAGUACAGCACUCUACACGCGCAGCGCAAACAGAAGAACAAGCAGUCCGUCUGACCUGAAGAUAUUAGCAGAAGAAGCAGACAACGGCUCAUCUUUAAACCUGUCUUUGAUUUCACGCUCCUGUAAAUGUAGGUGUCUGUCGCUUGUGUUGAUGCUUCAAAUAAAUAAAGUCUUUCUUUACUAUC
Long non-coding RNA from Cyprinus carpio (common carp), 699 nucleotides. The record is from Ensembl. Lineage: Eukaryota; Metazoa; Chordata; Actinopteri; Cypriniformes; Cyprinidae.